Molecule: long non-coding RNA, 801 nt
Organism: Amphiprion ocellaris (clown anemonefish)
Lineage: Eukaryota; Metazoa; Chordata; Actinopteri; Pomacentridae
Exons: 3
Source: RefSeq, a predicted model, not a curated record
UGAAGUAUUCCUAGAUACUAAACCUUCUAAACUAAACUUCUGAGCCCAGACGACCAUCAUCAUGUAUCUGGAGAUCAGAUGUCUCCGUAGACCAAAAAUCUGCUGUAGCAGUCACUCUGGAAUAGUGAUGAACAGACACCUGCCCAUCACAAUCAGUCACAAUCAGUCACAAUCAGUUGCAGUCAGUCACUUCCAUAUUAUUGGACCUUCUCGCAGUCACUCUCAACACCUCAGCCAAUCACCUCUCACACCUGGAAUCCACCCCUGUUCCUUUGUUUGAAGCCCAUCAGCUUCAUUCAGUCACAGACAGUCACUGAACAGCAGGAUCACCCCACAGCACUCAUCUCUGGAAACCAUUCACUUUUUACAAGCCUGGAAACCUGGAAAUCACAGCAUCAAAGAGGACGCCUGCAACUGCCUUUGGAUUUCUGGAUGUCACCCACCUGAACCCACAUUGUGCUGAACAUUGAAUAUUGGUUAGGCUUGAACUGAUGGCGAGCUACCCUGGACCAAACUGGACAACCGUCUGACAUGUUUCACCCCUUCACCCACCCCACUCAUUGGCAGGUCUAAAGCCCCACAGCUUCAUCCCUUCCAGAAUGGUGUGGUAGGACUUUGUUGGACUUUGUUGGAUUUGUUGGAUUUGUUGGACUUUGUAAGAAUUUGUUGGAACUGUUUAUUGAAUCAGCUUAUUGUUCACUUCAACCAGGAAUUGUCAGUGGAGUAUUGAUAAUUGAACUAAGCACAUAGUCACUUUAUAUUGUUGACAGUGAAGCUGCUUAUUCUUAAUUGGAUUGAUUG